GACGAACGCUGGCGGCGUGCUUAACACAUGCAAGUCGAACGGAAAGGCCCUGCUUUUGUGGGGUGCUCGAGUGGCGAACGGGUGAGUAACACGUGAGUAACCUGCCCUUGACUUUGGGAUAACUUCAGGAAACUGGGGCUAAUACCGGAUAGCAGCUCCUGCUCCAUGGUGGGGGUUGGAAAGUUUCGGCGGUUGGGGAUGGACGCGCGGCUUAUCAGCUUGUUGGUGGGGUAGUGGCUUACCAAGGCUUUGACGGGUAGCCGGCCUGAGAGGGUGACCGGCCACAUUGGGACUGAGAUACGGCCCAGACUGCUACGGGAGGCAGAAGUGGGGAAUAUUGCACAAUGGGCGGAAGCCUGAUGCAGCAACGCCGCGUGCGGGAUGACGGCCUUCGGGUUGUAAACCGCUUUAGCCUGUGACGAAGCGUGAGUGACGGUAAUGGGUAAAGAAGCACCGGCUAACUACGUG
RNAcentral lists this ribosomal RNA (468 nucleotides) under uncultured bacterium. RNAcentral describes it as "partial 16S ribosomal RNA". It matches the Rfam family "Bacterial small subunit ribosomal RNA", at positions 28 to 507 of the family's 1533-position model. The record is from RNAcentral.